This 430-nucleotide ribosomal RNA is filed under the name Pseudomonadota bacterium. RNAcentral's name for it is "Proteobacteria bacterium partial 16S ribosomal RNA". It matches the Rfam family "Bacterial small subunit ribosomal RNA", at positions 355 to 776 of the family's 1533-position model. Lineage: Bacteria; Pseudomonadati; Pseudomonadota. The record is from RNAcentral.
UGGGGAAUAUUGGACAAUGGGGGGAACCCUGAUCCAGCCAUGCCGCGUGUGUGAAGAAGGCCUUAUGGUUGUAAAGCACUUUAAGCGAGGAAGAGGGUACUGGUAUUAAUACUACCAGCUACUGGACGUUACUCGCAGAAUAAGCACCGGCUAACUCUGUGCCAGCAGCCGCGGUAAUACAGAGGGUGCGAGCGUUAAUCGGAUUUACUGGGCGUAAAGCGUGCGUAGGCGGCUAAUUGAGUCGGAUGUGAAAUCCCCGAGCUUAACUUGGGAAUUGCAUUCGAUACUGGUUAGCUAGAGUGUGGGAGAGGAUGGUAGAAUUCCAGGUGUAGCGGUGAAAUGCGUAGAGGUCUGGAUGAAUACCGAUGGCGAGGUCAGCCAUCUGGCCUAACACUGACGCUGAGGUACGAAAGCAUGGGGAGCAAACGGG